GGGGUUAUAGUGUUAGUGGUAGCACAGUUGGCUUUUAACCAUCAAGCCUCGGUUCGAUUCCAGAGUGGCCCUACCA
Molecule: transfer RNA, 76 nt
Filed under: Bacteroidia bacterium
Lineage: Bacteria; Pseudomonadati; Bacteroidota; Bacteroidia
Description: tRNA-Lys
Rfam family: tRNA
About the family: Transfer RNA (tRNA) molecules are approximately 80 nucleotides in length.
Source: RNAcentral